CAGAACGAACGCUGGCGGCGCGUCUUAAGCAUGCAAGUCGAACGGCAAGAGGUAGCAAUACCUCCUAGAGUGGCGGACUGGUGAGUAACACGUGGGUGACAUACCCUUCAGAUGGGGAUAGCUAUUAGAAAUAGUAGAUAAUACCGAAUACGAGCACAGGGGUUAGAGAUCUGUGAGGAAAGGAGCUAAGGCUCCGCUGAAGGAAUGGCCUGCGGCCCAUUAGCUAGUUGGUGAGGUAAGAGCCCACCAAGGCGAUGAUGGGUAUCCGGCCUUAGAGGGUGAACGGACACAUUGGGACUGAGAUACGGCCCAGACUCCUACGGGAGGCAGCGGCUAAGAAUAUUCCGCAAUGGACGAAAGUCUGACGGAGCGACGCCGCGUGGAUGAAGAAGGCCGGAAGGUUGUAAAAUCCUUUUGAAACUGAAGAAUAAGCGUUGUAGGGAAUGACAGCGUGGUGACAGUAGGUUUUGAAUAAGCAACGGCUAAUUACGUGCCAGCCGCCGC
This 504-nucleotide ribosomal RNA is filed under the name uncultured bacterium. RNAcentral's name for it is "bacterial SSU rRNA". It matches the Rfam family "Bacterial small subunit ribosomal RNA", at positions 25 to 518 of the family's 1533-position model. The record is from RNAcentral.